RNAcentral lists this ribosomal RNA (499 nucleotides) under uncultured bacterium. Its description in RNAcentral is "partial 16S ribosomal RNA". It matches the Rfam family "Bacterial small subunit ribosomal RNA", at positions 28 to 507 of the family's 1533-position model. The record is from RNAcentral.
GACGAACGCUGGCGGCGUGCCUAAUACAUGCAAGUCGAGCGAAGUUUUUCUGGUGCUUGCACCGGAAAAACUUAGCGGCGAACGGGUGAGUAACACGUAAAGAACCUGCCUUAUAGACUGGGACAACUAUUGGAAACGAUAGCUAAUACCGGAUAACAGCAUUAACUGCAUGGUUGAUGUUUGAAAGUUGGUUUUGCUAACACUAUGAGAUGGCUUUGCGGUGCAUUAGCUAGUUGGUGGGGUAAAGGCCUACCAAGGCGACGAUGCAUAGCCGACCUGAGAGGGUGAUCGGCCACACUGGGACUGAGACACGGCCCAGACUCCUACGGGAGGCAGCAGUAGGGAAUCUUCCGCAGUGGGCGAAAGCCUGACGGAGCAACGCCGCGUGAGUGAAGAAGGAUUUCGGUUCGUAAAGCUCUGUUGUUAGGGAAAAAUGAUUGUGUAGUAACUAUACACAGUAGAGACGGUACCUAACCAGAAAGCCACGGCUAACUACGUG